CUGUGACCGCCUUUGCGCGGGGCGCACGGAGGGCUGGGAGCGGCCGCGCGCCUCUGCCGCUAUGGUGGUCGUCGAUGCCGAUCCGCCCGUACGCGGGUGUGCCGGGCCGCGCGCCGGGGGAGCCCGGCGCCGCGGAUCCCGGAUGAGUCUGGGGGACCGCCCAGGCGGGACACCGAGCAGG
RNAcentral lists this non-coding RNA (181 nucleotides) under Prasinoderma coloniale. Lineage: Eukaryota; Viridiplantae; Prasinodermophyta; Prasinodermophyceae; Prasinodermales; Prasinodermaceae. The record is from RNAcentral.